This 254-nucleotide ribosomal RNA is filed under the name uncultured bacterium. Its description in RNAcentral is "partial 16S ribosomal RNA". It matches the Rfam family "Bacterial small subunit ribosomal RNA", at positions 524 to 776 of the family's 1533-position model. The record is from RNAcentral.
UACGGAGGGGGCAAGCGUUGUUCGGAAUUACUGGGCGUAAAGGGCGCGCAGGCGGCUGCUCAAGUCAGGCGUGAAAGGCCUGGGCUCAACCCGGGAAUUGCGCUUGAGACUGGGCUGGCUUGAGUGCGGGGGAGGAUGGUGGAAUUCCCAGUGUAGAGGUGAAAUUCGUAGAUAUCUGGAGGAACACCGGUGGCGAAGGCGGCAUCCUGGACCAACACUGACACUGAGGAGCGAAAGCCAGGGGAGCAAACGGG